Molecule: ribosomal RNA, 440 nt
Filed under: uncultured bacterium
Lineage: Bacteria
Description: partial 16S ribosomal RNA
Rfam family: Bacterial small subunit ribosomal RNA
Source: RNAcentral
CCUACGGGGUGCAGCAGUGGGGGAUAUUGCACAAUGGGGGGAACCCUGAUGCAGCGACGCCGCGUGGGUCAAGAAGCGCCUCGGCGCGUAAAGCCCUGGCAGCAGGGAAGAAAAUGACGGUACCUGAAGAAGAAGCCCCGGCUAACUACGUGCCAGCAGCCGAGGUAAUACGUAGGGGGCAAGCGUUAUCCGGAUUUACUGGGUGGAAAGGGGGCGCAGACGGCAGUGCAAGUCCGGAGUGAAAGCCCGGGGCUCAACCCUGGGACUGCUCUGGAAACGGCAAAGCUGGAGUGCGGGAGGGGCAGGCGGAAUUCCUGGUGUAGCGGUGAAAUGCGUAGAUAUCAGGAGGCACACCGGCGGCGAAGGCGGCCUGCUGGACCGUAACUGACGUUGAGGCUCGAAAGCGUGGGGAGCAAACAGGAUUAGAUACCCCAGUAGUC